UGUUGAUAUGAUUAUUGCUAACUGGCUUAAGCAAUGUUUAGUGAAAAACGUUGCUUGAGCCGGUUAGCAAUAAUCAUAUCAACA
RNAcentral lists this microRNA precursor (84 nucleotides) under Podarcis lilfordi (Lilford's wall lizard). The record is from RNAcentral. Lineage: Eukaryota; Metazoa; Chordata; Lepidosauria; Squamata; Lacertidae.